RNAcentral lists this ribosomal RNA (469 nucleotides) under Serratia symbiotica. RNAcentral describes it as "bacterial SSU rRNA". It matches the Rfam family "Bacterial small subunit ribosomal RNA", at positions 9 to 478 of the family's 1533-position model. The record is from RNAcentral. Lineage: Bacteria; Pseudomonadati; Pseudomonadota; Gammaproteobacteria; Enterobacterales; Yersiniaceae.
GAGUUUGAUCAUGGCUCAGAUUGAACGCUGGCGGCAGGCCUAACACAUGCAAGUCGAGCGGUAGCACAAGAGAGCUUGCUCUCUGGGUGACGAGCGGCGGACGGGUGAGUAAUGUCUGGGAAACUGCCUGAUGGCGGGGGAUAACUAGUGGAAACGGUAGCUAAUACCGCAUAACGUCGCAAGACCAAAGUGGGGGACCUUCGGGCCUCACGCCAUCAGAUGUGCCCAGGUGGGAUUAGCUGGUAGGUGGGGUAACGGCUCACCUAGGCGACGAUCCCUAGCUGGUCUGAGAGGAUGACCAGCCACACUGGAACUGAGACACGGUCCAGACUCCUACGGGAGGCAGCAGUGGGGAAUAUUGCACAAUGGGCGCAAGCCUGAUGCAGCCAUGCCGCGUGUGUGAAGAAGGCCUUCGGGUUGUAAAGCACUUUCAGCGAGGAGGAAGGGUAAUGUGUUAAUAGGACAUUGC